GGGUGAUUAGCUCAGCUGGGAGAGCACCUCCCUUAGGAGGGGGUCGGCGGUUCGAUCCCGUCAUCACCCACCA
RNAcentral lists this transfer RNA (73 nucleotides) under Salmonella enterica subsp. enterica serovar Senftenberg. RNAcentral's name for it is "tRNA-OTHER". It matches the Rfam family "tRNA". Rfam says of the family: Transfer RNA (tRNA) molecules are approximately 80 nucleotides in length. Their secondary structure includes four short double-helical elements and three loops (D, anti-codon, and T loops). Further hydrogen bonds mediate the characteristic L-shaped molecular structure. tRNAs have two regions of fundamental functional importance: the anti-codon, which is responsible for specific mRNA codon recognition, and the 3' end, to which the tRNAs corresponding amino acid is attached (by aminoacyl-tRNA synthetases). tRNAs cope with the degeneracy of the genetic code in two manners: having more than one tRNA (with a specific anti-codon) for a particular amino acid; and 'wobble' base-pairing, i.e. permitting non-standard base-pairing at the 3rd anti-codon position. Lineage: Bacteria; Pseudomonadati; Pseudomonadota; Gammaproteobacteria; Enterobacterales; Enterobacteriaceae. The record is from RNAcentral.